UCUGUGUAAAUGCAUGAACCACAGCAGAUGUACUGUGCUGCAGUUUAGCUUGUGAUGGUUUUACUCCAGGAUGGACUGACAACCAGCAGCAGCAGACCUCUGUCAUCACGUGACCUCGUCAGCAGCUCUGCGCCCGUGGACAUCUGCAAAAUGGAGGAUCGUGAAUCUAAAGAACCUGAGCAGCUCAGAAAGCUGUUUAUUGGAGGUCUGAGCUUUGAAACCACGGAGGAGAGUUUACGGGCCCAUUUUGAACAAUGGGGGACUCUCACAGACUGUGUGGUGAUGAGGGAUCCCAACAGCAAGCGAUCAAGAGGGUUUGGCUUUGUAACAUACUCGUCUGUAAGGGAAGUCGAUGAUGCCAUGAAGGCAAGGCCCCAUAAAGUAGAUGGCCGGGUUGUUGAGCCCAAAAGGGCCGUAUCUAGAGAGGACUCUAAUAAACCAGGCGCCCAUCUGACGGUGAAAAAGAUCUUUGUUGGUGGUAUCAAGGAGGAUACCGAGGAGUACCAUAUUCGGGAGUAUUUUGAGAAAUAUGGAAAGAUUGAAUGCAUCGACAUCAUGGAGGAACGCUCCACGGGGAAGAAGAGGGGAUUCUGCUUCGUCUCCUUUGAUGACCAUGACACUGUUGACAAAAUUGUUGCCCAGAAAUUCCACACAAUCAACUUCCACAACUGUGAAGUCAGGAAAGCUCUGUCUAAACAGGAAAUGAGCGCUAUAUCCAGUAACAGGGGCAGGAGCGGAGGAUCAGGAAAUUUCAUGGGCAGGGGUAGUAAUUUUGGAGGCGGAGGCAACUUUGGCCGAGGUGGCUAUGGUGGAGGACGCGGUGGUUAUGCUGAUGAUUUUGACAAUGGACCCGGAGGAAAUUAUGGUGGUGGACCAGGCUAUGGAGGUGGCCGUGGGGGCUACGGAGGUGGUGGUCCAGGGUACGGAAACCAGGGUGGAGGUUUCGGAGGCAACUGUGAUGGAGGUUACGGAGGCAAUGAUGGAGGAUACGGAGGUGGUGGAAAUUACAAUGACUUUGGAAAUUAUGGUGGACAGCAGUCCAACUAUGGGCCCAUGAAGGGAGGCAACUUUGGUGGCAGAAACUCAGGUGGACCAUAUGGAGGUGGUUACGGCUCUGGUGGUGGUGGCGGAGGUGGCUACGGCUCACGGCGAUAUUAAUUAUUUCAUGUUUUGAUGUGGAAAGAGGCAUUCUCUUCUUGCUGAAAAUCUGUAAAGACCUGAUAACAUGGAAGGUUCUGGAUGGUACAAGAUUCCAUUUGUUUGCUGUUUUGUAAGCCCUUCGGUCAAGCCUUCAAGUCAAGAACUGACUUGAACAUGUGGUAAGUUAUGUAACUAUUCUUUAGACUAUAUAUCCAUCUGGCAUCAAUCUGUUCUGGGCUGUGGCCAGAGUACACUGUAUAAUGCUCUGCUUUCAGAAAACAGGAGGCCUUCUAGCUAUAUGAAUACUUUAUUUAAAAGCAUUAAAGUCAGAUUUUUUUAAAAAACUGGGCAGCAAAUCAUAAAAGGAAAGUUAUAAAGUAAAUAACAAUGAUUGAAACAAUCAUCAGCAUACAGAACUAUGAUAUAUACAAUAUAUAUACACAUACAGUAACAUUUUUUAUCAAUCAAACAAGUAAUGCUUAUAUUUACAAACUACUGGUUAUAGAAUCUGUGAGGGUAUCAGAGUACAAAAGAAGAAAAAUAUCAAAAAUAUUACAACAUUCAAGAGAUGUGAGCAAAAACUAUACAAUAGUUCUGCUGGGCUACUAAUGCUUAAAGCUGAGUGACUACAAAGUUAUUGCAUAGUAUACUAUGAUAAUGCAGUACCAUAUUACAAAGAAGAUAAGUGGUUUUCUUUGCUGUUGUAAGUCUUUUUAAUGCGAGGAACAAGAAAGAUGCUGCCAUCCGUUGACUGCUGCAGGGAGUAGUCCGACGGGGAGUAGGAGUUCCCCUUCUCAUCUCUCAACAUACCAAAGACCUCCAGGUACAAGCUGUUGAGCUGCCGCUUCAUUUCCUUCAGGUCUGUGACGUUCUUGCUCUUCUCGCUCUGCAGACGUGCUUUUUCCUCCUUCAGUGAGUCCAGUUCACCCUCCAGACCCACUAUGUUCUCCAUCUUGCGUUUGCGGCAGUUCUGGGCAGCCACCUUGUUCUUGCCGCGGCGGCGUAUGUCACGGACCAGGGCCAGCUGGGCCUCGUUCAGUUGGUGCUUUGACAUCAUCUCAGUGAAGUCAUCAACGGGCAGAUUGAUAAUCAUGUCAACGGUGAAAGGGAUUUUGAGGGCCUUAGCCCUCUGCUCGUCUCUGGAGAGACGCACAUCAGAGCGUUUCUUCUGCUUGUCUUUGGUGAAGGGAGUGUUGCUGUGACCACUCUCUUCUGCUGGGUCCACCUUGAUGUGUUUGGGUUUCUUUUCCUGCUGAUGUGGCUGCCCAGCGAGGGUAGAUACAGAACCUGCCUGCUCAAGAUCAUCAGGGUGGAAAUUUAAUGAAAACAUCUCAGAGUAGUCAGAUUCUACACUGCCAGGGUUGUGGUCCAUCUCCUCCAUCUCUGAAUCGCUGGAACCAAAGGACCCACUUCCAUAAAGAGACUUCCCAGGUGAGCUAGAAUUUGGACUUGCAUGUGCAGAGAUCCCAGAAUCUGAGUCUGGCAGAUCUGUGGCCAAAUUCUGUUUGCCUCUGUCAAAUGCAUCUCCAGGCGAGAGACUGUAGAGGUCCAUGGUUGUGUAGGGGGCCUUGUCUGAGAUAUCAGAUAUGGUGGUGCUGUCAUUUCCUUCAAUGCUAUGCGGACCACAAGUCUCUUGCAUCAUUGCGUUGGGAUAGAAUAUGUCACAGAAAGGUUCUGCACUGAAGUCAGCAUUUAACUGAGGGGUUUUUGCUUUCAUCUGGCUGAGAUCAUCUGAUGGAGCCAUACUGGGAACAGAGCCACCAAAUGUAUUUAUAAACUCUGCAGGAGCAACAUUUAAACUGUUUGUAUUCCCGUCUGUGAGAGUGGUCAUGGGGUAGAAGGAGUAGUUUGGAUUCUGCACUUCAGGACUGUUUGGAAGAGGAUAAGUUGUGGUCUCCAGUGUGUCCUCCAUUUGCAUGCUCAAGCAAUGCUAGGAAAAAAAAACAGAAAAAUAUAGAACCAUUAAAACUUAUAUCAUCAACACGGAAAUAGCAGGUCAGUUAUCAAACCUUGUUUUGUUUUUGUGCAAAACACAAGAAUGGGAAUGGAUGUAUGUACUGAGAUGAAUGUAUGUGCUCCCAUUUACACCUCCAGUAAUUUCCAAAAUCUGCGACACUAUAUAAAAAUACACCAUUACCAUCCUAUAAAAUCUACUAAAUGAACCCACAUGGCACUCCUUUAAAGUGGGAUUAUUAUCGUUAUUGUCAGAUACCAUUGCAACCUGGGAUAAAUGUGUUGAAAUAAGUUUGGCAUGAAAAGAUAAGUGCUUAAGCCUUAAUCUUCACUAAAGAGGCUAGUAACUCCUGGACCAUUAAGUCAUGUAGUUGUUCCAUUUGACUGGUCUUUCAUAAACAAAUGCUGGUAGAGCUGGUUGUAGCACACGUUAGCCUUUAGUGAUUUCCAAAGCUAGUUAGAUAUCCAGUAAGUGAAAUCUUCUAGCCUCCUGUUGUAGUAAGAUUAAAUGACUCAUUUAUCUCCGUUGAGCAGCUUUCAAGAACUGAACCCAUAUUUGACACAACUUUCACUUAUGACUCUUAUCAGCAGCUUGCCAGAUCAAGUAAUGCAAUACUAUUUAUGAUUAGGAUUAGAGUCCAGUCUGGGGACAUAGUGGGAGGUUAAGGCAAUGAGUGGCACACUGCUCCACCCAUCACCUAAUGCAAAUAUGAGGUGCAAUGAAACCAAACUGAUAAAGCACCCACUGAAAAAACGACUGCACAAAUUUUCACCUUUCUGCCAGUAAGAAAAGGUUUUAAACCUGCCGCACCCUGUCUGCACAAGAUGCAUUCUGGUUCUGCUGGAUGAAGCUAGUGGCAAUUAAUUAUAAAAAAAUGCAUCACACCUUCAACACCCACCUCUCUAAUGCUUUAAAAGGUCUCAACAAUGAAGGCUAAUCGCUGCUGAAUGAUAUGCGUGCACCCAUCUCACAUAUAUGAGACUCCGCUCUCAUAGGGCAAACAAAACAGUGUUUGUCCUCUAAUGCCGGGUUCCUGCUAUUCGUACAUUCUUUGGGUAUUGGUUCCACUACACAGACCGUGAUGCCAUUGAGGUGGUAGAAUCCAUGUAUUGUACCUGCAGCUCAGGGAGGGACAAAAGCUCCAUCCAGGCCUGCUCCAAGUCUGGAGACAUCCUGUGGGGUGAUGGCAUAUGACCCGGGGAGAGGGUGGCUGGCGAUAGAGCUGGCUGCUCGGGGGACAUCAUCAUGUUGCUGCUGAUGGGUACUGAAACGGCAGGUGUGUCCAGGCAAACUGAAGCAUUCUGUAAGGAAAAAAUACAUACAUAACAGUUCUAUGCAACUAAAAGUCAAGUUAAAGGCUGUUAUUUGCGGCAAUAAUUUAGCCAACAUUCUUACCUCAGUUUCCUCUACAGGAAAUGUCUCUGCCAGUAGCUGCAGACAUUCAUCAAACGACAUUGCAUCACCAUUCUCCUCUGUGAAGCUCACAUUCUGCAACAGAAGUUGAAGUACUUGCUGUUGAAUUUAUCACCUAGCAUCCUUUGUGGCAAACCAAUUUUAAAAACAGCACAUGAUUUUUAUAGUGCUUAGGUCUCUAUAGAGUAGUUUCUGGAGCAGAGUACACCAAUGCAAAACUACAGAGCCACCUGUGUUUCUGUAAUUACACAGGAUGAGGUGGUUACCUAGCUACUACACAGCCGGAGCCUAUCAAAAGAGGUGGGAGUGGUCCACCUCUGACAUGACUAAUGAUGGCAUGUGUAUGUACCUGUGUAACCUCUAGAGGUGUGACGGCCGACUGCAGAGGCGUGCUGCUUGGUGGACGAGGUAUGUACUCUCCCGUCUCCUCGUCUAGCUGUAGCUGUGCCAGCAGGGCCUUCUCCUGCUCCCGCAGCAAAUGCAGUCUCUUCUCCUCCUCCAGCUCCCGCUGCCUCUGCAGCUCAUGCUCUUUCUGACGGUGGUUGUAGUCAAACACCUCACGCCUGGCGCCGAGAUCAAUGUCCUGCUUCCAGAGUAUGUCGAUCAUGUCCAUGUCCUGAAAAGACAACCGCAGAUCCAUUUAGAGAGUUGUGAGCAGCCAUGCCGUCCUGCAGUGAGAAUAUGAUCAGCAAUGGAACAAGGAAGAAAGUCCUUGGUGUGAAGCGUGGCAGUAGCACCUGCCACACCCCGUCCCUCAGUAUCUGUGCACAGACAACAACACUGGCACUAAUGUCAAGGGGGAGAAGCCGCAUGAAUAAUGAAUGCGCUUCUCUUUUUCCCUUGUUGCCAUCUCACACCAGCAGAAGACACGUAUCCUCAUCUGAUACUCAGUGGUCAUUACCCAUCCUAUUACACUGAGGUGUGAAUUUGUAUGUCACAUUCAAACCUCCAGUCAGGUAACACUCCCUGCCCACUUUGAAAUGAUCAUGUAGUUUUCAAUUAGUUGACUCAAAUCACACUUACAUUUUGCAGCACUUAAACAUCAGAUCAAUAAAAGGCGUGUAAAGUUUGUCUUCAAGAAUACAGAAUCAUAAUGGUUCAAGUACCUGUUACAUAACAUAAAGGAGAGGAUAUCAGAAAUAAUAUCAAAGUGAUAACAUGCAAUCAAAAGAAAAUGGGAAAAUAACUGUAGAUCUGUUGCUGGGUAGAAUUACAAACCUUAUCUCCUUAAUUUCGCCCUUGUUUUGCCUUCAAGUAAAUAACUACAGCUUUUAAGAGGUGAUCUAAUGACAAUACUGCUCAAUAAUCUUGUCCUAUGUUUAGUAUUUACACAUUAGGCUGCUGACGACUCAGAACAUUUGGCCCAGCUCACAAACAACUAUGAGGUUAUUUCAAUACCGUUUCCUGUAAAUUUCCGUUCAUAGGCCAAAUGUUAUUUGCCUUUUCAAACAAGAAUGUCUAAACAUAAAUCAUGCUGCUAUCUUCAUGUCUCUUUUACCAGAAUUUAUUUACAGAAGGAAACCGUUUCACAAGGCCCUCGGAUGUUGCAUAAAGCCAAAAUGGUGGUUCAUAGGAAAACAUCUGAGCAUGUGACUUGUUUCUUCCUCAGAUUCAGGUAUAAACAUAACUUGUGAGCUAGGCUUUAUAAUCUUCACUUAUAUGGCCAGAAAAGACACAGCCUGGAGGAAGCCAAGAGGGAACUAAGAGAGAAUGAAGUACAAAGCAGAACAAUGCACAAUAAAGAGGAUUUGAAAGUGUUUCAAUGUUUUCUCUGUAGAUAAAAAAAGGUGCGUCAUAAAACUUUUAUUAACUAAAUAGCAUACAAUCACCUAGAAAUAUUCUAGGAGAUUGUUGACAAGGUUUUUUUUUAAUACAAUUGUGGCAUUUCAAAAUAAAAACCCACUAACCCUCUUUGCCUCUGUGUUGCAUCAUCAGCAUGACCGCUAAAGGAUUACACAUUACUAAGGUUGCCUACUAUAAAUCAGACUCACCGACUGAGAGGUGCGCACACAACCAAAAAUUACAGCUUCUGCAGGAAUGAGGAAGUCCCUAAAAUGCCUGUGUGGGACAUCUGAACACACUACUUGAGGUCACUGAUGUUUUCCAAACUAAAAAAAACACACUCUUGUCACACCUAUAAGCUUGUGGGACAAGUCAUACGAGUCUCUUCAAACAAAAAAAAACCAAUCAUUUGUGCCAAAAAAAAGGUCUGUUGUCCACACAAUGGAAGCUCAGUCACCACUCUCAGUGUCACAGAUAGGAAAAGCUGUUAUAAAAUGCCACAGAAUCAAAGUAACUCAACAAAUAACCUGCAUAUACUCUGUAUUAAUAAAAAAUUGUUGGUGUAAAUGCGGAUGAGAUCACGUAUGCGAUUCGAAACACAGCUGUCACAAGACACGGACUGGCACAAGAACAAGGAAACUGGCUCAGAAAACUACUUAGAUUUCCCAGACAUCUCUACCAGACAAUGCUCAACGAUACCAGACAGAUUUCCGUUUAAAAUGGAGCCAAAAUGUGCUCAGCAAGAAAAAUACAUGUUCAAACACACAGAUAUAUUUUUCACCACAAGCCAAACUAAUAGCUAAUGGAUCCUGUGGCCACAAAGUGUGUGUAUGCUAUUAGCGUGGGUUGUUCAUUUACCUCUCUACAGCUAAACACAAGAGGCCUCACAAUUCAGUGGACAUCCACCCUUGACCAAGGAUGAUGAAACACAGCUGCGCAUGUUCCAAAACAGCACUCUGGGCCCUCAUCAGUCAACUUUGUACUACCACUGACCCUCUCUUGUGACAGGCUUAAUCCGGCACUAAAGAUGUAAGGCCACCUCACAUUAAAAGCUCAGUUCGUCAUUUCAUUCACUGUAUAUAAACAUAUGUGGGAACACAAGCCGAGGCUGCAUUUCAUUGGUUCCUUUACAUGACAAUAUCCGCUGAAAAACAAAAUUAUCACAGUGGUCAGAGGCUCGACUGUAUCAGAUAUGGGAUCACAUGCUUGGAGGAAGGGGGAGGAGGAGGGACACAGUUACGAGAAACAGCUCAAGAGGGGUUUUUUUUUGUUGUUGUUUACUAAACUUGUGGGGAUGAAACAAAUAAGGCAAUUUUAUUCUGAAAAUCGACUACAUCACUAUUAUCAUCCUGUUUUUUUUCUCCUGUCGAGGAGAAACGUCACAAGUGGAUGACUUGCAGAACAGAGGGUAACCUUAAUAUUUUAACGCUGUAUUAUGUCGGAGCUACAACUCAUUAACUACGCCAUAAGUUGACUGUCACAACAAACGAGUCAUUUAGUUUGGGGUAACACGAAAAAGUUUAUCUGAACUCUGCCUCCAUACAAAAAGGGAAGUUGACAACCCAUGUCAGCCAGUCUGUCUGUCUGACGGAAUACUUUUAAAAAAAGAAAUACUCUAAUUACCUGUUGACUGGAACGCAUCACCUCCAUUUCCAUCAUCAUGGAGAGCUGUCCCGCCGGUACAAAAAAGACGUCUUAUCACUGAUAAAUGUUUGUGUUAUUCCUCGAAUGGCUGAUGAAAAUGGCGAGCGGUCCGAAGCCAAUAUAGUCCUUCGCGGCAGCUGAGCUCAGGGAAA
Molecule: RNA transcript, 8085 nt
Organism: Amphiprion ocellaris (clown anemonefish)
Lineage: Eukaryota; Metazoa; Chordata; Actinopteri; Pomacentridae
Gene: hnrnpa3
Gene name: heterogeneous nuclear ribonucleoprotein A3
Exons: 12
Source: RefSeq, a predicted model, not a curated record